RNAcentral lists this long non-coding RNA (1165 nucleotides) under Strigops habroptila (Kakapo). Its description in RNAcentral is "lncRNA (ENSSHBG00005014614.1)". Lineage: Eukaryota; Metazoa; Chordata; Aves; Psittaciformes; Psittacidae. The record is from RNAcentral.
UUCUUUUUUUUUUUUUUUUUUUUUUUUUUUUUUUUUUUUUUUAAUUUUCUAAUGCAGUAGUUUACAAUGUGGUGCCUUAGACACUCACCUAAAAACACCUGAAACAGAGACGGAAUUAUCAACAAGCAGCCCCAAAACUAAGCAGAAUAUCUAGAGACAGGAUCUCCAGAUUAUUUCCCUUGGGUUACAAAGUAAGGUUUCCAAUUCUUUCAGCAUUUGGAUAUUUUUCUUUUAUUUUUCAUAAAAAUUCCCCAGUUUGUCAUUGGCCUCACUGAACUGUGAAUAUAACUGAAUAUAAUAUUCUUGCAUAGAAAAUACAAAUACCAGAUAUACGGAUAAUCUGCUGCUUACAUGAAGACCAUGUUAGUCCUGUUUGCCAAGGAAUUAUCCUGGGAGUUAAUAUCCAACUUACCAUAAGCCAGAAUCUCCCUUAGUUGUCAUGAGUGACUGUUUCUGAGACAUUCUCUCCUCUAGUACCUUUGGCCUCUAUUCUUUCUUCCAAGAUAAAGUUGCCUGUUUCCAACUUUUUGAGAUCUGUUUGUAUUGUUUCUGUUCCAUACUUGGCAUUUUCCCAGUCUUUGAGUUAUUUGCAAACUUUAUUUGUGAUAAUUUAAUAUAUUCUUUCAGAAUAUAGGAAAACACAUAAACAGAAUUGGGCUGGAAUUAAUCCCCACAGGAGACCGAUACAAGCAUCUUUGUCUCAUAAAGAUUUCUCAGAGUUAUAAUCUGAAACAUAGUAUUUAAGACUAAUAAUUUUGCACCCUUCCCCUUUCUUCAACAAAAUGUCAUCGUGUACUAAGCAACACUCAUUUCAGAAAUCAGAAAUCAACCCAAAUUGUAAUCCUAUUAAAAAGAAAAAAUAUUUUGAGAGGAUUUCCAGGCCACCAAUCCAUGUCAACUGCAUUAAUUGCACUAUUAUUUCCCCAGUUUAUUUGUUAACUGAUGCACUCUAACAAAUUCGUGUGGUAUUGAAUUCAGGCAUUAAGUAAUACAGAUUUCUAAACACCGAGAAAUGGUACUUAAAUAUAAUCUUAAAAUAUUUCAAACCUUGCAGUCUUCUGAAACUUUCCCAGCAGACUAAAACACAUCGCUGUGAAUGAUGUAAAACCUCCUCAGCCUCAUCUUUUACAAAUCUCCGAUGUAUAACAAGUUCAUAAAAAACAAA